This is a long non-coding RNA of Salvia splendens (bonfire salvia), 352 nucleotides long. RefSeq lists it as uncharacterized. The transcript has 3 exons. Lineage: Eukaryota; Viridiplantae; Streptophyta; Magnoliopsida; Lamiales; Lamiaceae. The record is from RefSeq and is a predicted model, not a curated record.
CUCUGAUCUCUCUGUGUUUUGUUUGAAAGUGAUCUCAUAUUAGAAAGUGGAAAUGGUGAAGAUUGUGGAAAGCAUGAAGAGAGGCUUUCAUAAUUUUGUGGAAAUUGUAUCUUGUGGAAGCAAAGGUGUAAAGGAAAAUGAUGCAAAAACACCAGAGCUCAAAGCAGAGAUUAAUUAUGCACCGAAUAAACCAUCCGCAGAUGUUAAUUCUAGUGCUCGUGGGAUUGAAUCGCAUUAGAAGAUGAUAUAUUUUCCCCCCUCGAUUGUUAAUUUCUUAGUUGUCCUAUAUUUGUGUAUUUUAGCCAUAUUUAUUUCGUUUAUUUAAGUGUUUUUGUUAUGUAAAAUUUCCGGA